UGAGGAAUCUUGCGCAAUGGGGGCAACCCUGACGCAGCAACGCCGCGUGAGUGAGGAAGGUCUUCGGAUCGUAAAGCUCUGUCAGUUGGGAAGAAAUGCCUGUUGGUUAAUAUCCUUCAGGCUUGACGGUACCAACAGAGGAAGCACCGGCUAACUCCGUGCCAGCAGCCGCGGUAAUACGGGGGGUGCAAGCGUUGUUCGGAAUUAUUGGGCGUAAAGAGCGUGUAGGCGGCCUGAUGUGUCAGAUGUGAAAGCCCUGGGCUUAACCCAGGAAGUGCAUUUGAAACUGUCAGGCUCGAGUAGGGUAGAGGGAAGUGGAAUUCCUGGUGUAGAGGUGAAAUUCGUAGAUAUCAGGAGGAACACCGGUGGCGAAGGCGACUUCCUGGCCCUAUACUGACGCUGAGACGCGAGAGCGUGGGUAGCAAACA
This 428-nucleotide ribosomal RNA is filed under the name uncultured prokaryote. RNAcentral describes it as "bacterial SSU rRNA". It matches the Rfam family "Bacterial small subunit ribosomal RNA", at positions 355 to 774 of the family's 1533-position model. The record is from RNAcentral.